GAUGAAGAACGCAGCGAAAUGCGAUAAGUAGUGUGAAUUGCAGAAUUCAGUGAAUCAUCGAAUCUUUGAACGCACAUUGCGCCCCUUGGUAUUCCAUGGGGCAUGCCUGUUCGAGCGUCAUUUGUACCCUCAAGCUUUGCUUGGUGUUGGGUGUUUGUCCCGCGUUGCGCGUGGACUCGCCUUAAAGCGAUUGGCAGCCGGCAUAUUGGCCUUGGAGCGCAGCACAUUUUGCGCUUCUAGUCAUGAAUGUUGGCGUCCAUUAAGCCUAUACAUUUGCUCUUGACCUCGGAUCAGGUAGGGAUACCCGCUGAACUUAAGCAUAUAAUAAGCGGAGGA
Molecule: unclassified non-coding RNA, 336 nt
Filed under: soil metagenome
Description: partial contains 5.8S ribosomal RNA, internal transcribed spacer 2, and large subunit ribosomal RNA
Rfam family: 5.8S ribosomal RNA (bases 1-120)
Source: RNAcentral